GAUGAACGCUGGCGGCGUGCCUAACACAUGCAAGUCGAACGAAGCACCUUACCUGAUUCUUCGGAUGAAAGUUUGGUGACUGAGUGGCGGACGGGUGAGUAACGCGUGGGUAACCUGCCCUGUACAGGGGGAUAACAGCUGGAAACGGCUGCUAAUACCGCAUAAGCGCACGAGGAGACAUCUCCUUGUGUGAAAAACUCCGGUGGUACAGGAUGGGCCCGCGUCUGAUUAGCUGGUUGGCAGGGUAACGGCCUACCAAGGCAACGAUCAGUAGCCGGUAUGAGAGGAUGAACGGCCACAUUGGAACUGAGACACGGUCCAAACUCCUACGGGAGGCAGCAGUGGGGAAUAUUGCACAAUGGGGGAAACCCUGAUGCAGCAACGCCGCGUGAGUGAAGAAGUAUUUCGGUAUGUAAAGCUCUAUCAGCAGGGAAGAUAAUGACGGUACCUGACGAAGAAGCUCCGGCUAAAUACGUG
This 477-nucleotide ribosomal RNA is filed under the name uncultured bacterium. RNAcentral's name for it is "partial 16S ribosomal RNA". It matches the Rfam family "Bacterial small subunit ribosomal RNA", at positions 28 to 507 of the family's 1533-position model. The record is from RNAcentral.